RNAcentral lists this long non-coding RNA (1067 nucleotides) under Anser brachyrhynchus (Pink-footed goose). RNAcentral describes it as "lncRNA (ENSABRG00000017369.1)". Lineage: Eukaryota; Metazoa; Chordata; Aves; Anseriformes; Anatidae. The record is from RNAcentral.
UUGUAACUGUACUACUGCAUAUUUUAAUUUGCUGGAAGUUAAGGCUUUGAAAUACUCAAGAUACAUCUGUUGCAGGUUGCAUUCUGAAAAAGGAUAGCUACUUCAAAGUGCUGUGCCCAGGAUAAAUUGCUAAUCCAGGAAUGAAGCCAUGGAUAUAUAGAGCUACAAGUAUAAGGCAGCAAAAAAUGCUUUGAUCAGGAGACAUGAGAAGACUCGAUCUUCUGUCUAGUGCUGACACAGGCAUCAGAUGUCUUGUUGAAUCUCUCAUUCUCCUGGACAAGGGCAGUGGUGACAGAUCUCAUCUGGGGCAGAGGGAGGAUGACCAAGGGAGAGAAAAUUCUCAUCUGCUGAAUUUCACCCUGCUCUUCCUGAGCCAGUAGGACAAAGAAGGAACAUGGAAUGGUUGCCUCAACUGCUGAGCAGAGAGGGUGCUCUAGAGCUAAGACGUACUGCCAGGAUAAAAUCAAACAGUUAUAGGACGGCAGAUUGAUGGCUCCUCUGAUCCAGCAAGAAUGGCUCGCAUGAGACGGAGGAGGUACUGCAGCCUGAGUGUCAUAAAGCAAGACCUGGAAAAGAGGGUGACAAUGGCAAACGGUAGUUUUUUAGAAGCUUGUACUAAUACCUGAUCUGUAGAGCCGGAUCCAUUACAGCCUUGAUCAAGAGAAAUUCAAAACAGCAGUUGAGCCUGUCAGAGAUCCAGUCUUUCUUUGUAGGAUGAAGUAGUAGAGGAAGAAGAGGAAGAAGAAAACAGAGGGUAAAGGAAGCUGGAGAUAAAGUUUGGAAUGGGGAAGAUGAGGUUAUCAGUGACCAACACUGCAAUUCUAUCUUGAUACCUCCGUUGACUUAGUGCCUGGCUCUGCAUGACUGUGGAGCAUCCCUGGGAGAUACUGAAUGUUAGAUAUCACUUGAGGUGUUAAAGUCUGUCCUAGAAAGCUGUUUGCUCUAUUCCCAGGACAGGGUCUUUAGACUCUGAAGUAUUAAAAACUGUCCCUUAGCCUCGAUAACAUCUUAAUGCAAUAUCAAUUAUUAAUAAUAAAUAAAUUCCCUUAGCAUUCCUAUAAAGAAAA